GAUGAACGCUAGCGGCAGGCCUAAUACAUGCAAGUCGAACGGUAAGGCCCUUUCGGGGGUACACGAGUGGCGGACGGGUGCGUAACGCGUAUGCAACAUGCCUUCCAGCGGGGGAUAUACCAGGGAAACUUGGCGCAAUACCCCAUAGAAUUACGGACCGCAUGGUCUUGUGAUUAAAACUACCGGUGCUGGGAGGAUUGGCAUGCGUGACAUUGCUAGUUGGCGGGGUAACGGGCCCACCAAGGCGACGAUGUCUAGCUGGUCUGAGAGGAUGAUCAGCCACACUGGGACUGAGACACGGCCCAGACUCCUACGGGAGGCAGCAGUGGGGAAGUCUUAGACAAUGGGCGGCAAGCCUGAUCUAGCCAUGCCGCGUGAGCGAUGAAGG
Molecule: ribosomal RNA, 388 nt
Filed under: uncultured bacterium
Lineage: Bacteria
Description: bacterial SSU rRNA
Rfam family: Bacterial small subunit ribosomal RNA
Source: RNAcentral